Molecule: ribosomal RNA, 430 nt
Filed under: Bacteroidota bacterium
Lineage: Bacteria; Pseudomonadati; Bacteroidota
Description: Bacteroidetes bacterium partial 16S ribosomal RNA
Rfam family: Bacterial small subunit ribosomal RNA
Source: RNAcentral
UAGGGAAUCUUCGGCAAUGGGGGGAACCCUGACCGAGCAACGCCGCGUGAGUGAAGAAGGUUUUCGGAUCGUAAAGCUCUGUUGUUAAGGAAGAACGAGUGUGAGAAUGGAAAGUUCAUGCUGUGACGGUACUUAACCAGAAAGGGACGGCUAACUACGUGCCAGCAGCCGCGGUAAUACGUAGGUCCCGAGCGUUGUCCGGAUUUAUUGGGCGUAAAGCGAGCGCAGGCGGUCAAUUAAGUCUGAUGUGAAAGCCCCCGGCUCAACCGGGGAGGGUCAUUGGAAACUGGUUGACUUGAGGGCAGAAGAGGAGAGUGGAAUUCCAUGUGUAGCGGUGAAAUGCGUAGAUAUAUGGAGGAACACCAGUGGGGAAGGCGACUCUCUGGUCUGUAACUGACGCUGAGGCUCGAAAGCGUGGGUAGCAAACAGG